UUGACCUCGGAUCAGGUAGGAAUACCCGCUGAACUUAAGCAUAUCAGGAAGGCGGAGGAAA
RNAcentral lists this ribosomal RNA (61 nucleotides) under Fusarium asiaticum. RNAcentral's name for it is "partial 28S ribosomal RNA". The record is from RNAcentral. Lineage: Eukaryota; Fungi; Ascomycota; Sordariomycetes; Hypocreales; Nectriaceae.